Molecule: ribosomal RNA, 358 nt
Filed under: uncultured bacterium
Lineage: Bacteria
Description: bacterial SSU rRNA
Rfam family: Bacterial small subunit ribosomal RNA
Source: RNAcentral
AACGAACGCUGGCGGCAUGCCUAACACAUGCAAGUCGAACGAGACCUUCGGGUCUAGUGGCGCACGGGUGCGUAACGCGUGGGAAUCUGCCCUUUGCUUCGGAAUAACAGUUAGAAAUGACUGCUAAUACCGGAUGAUGUCUUCGGACCAAAGAUUUAUCGGCAAAGGAUGAGCCCGCGUAGGAUUAGGUAGUUGGUGGGGUAAAGGCCUACCAAGCCGACGAUCCUUAGCUGGUCUGAGAGGAUGAUCAGCCACACUGGGACUGAGACACGGCCCAGACUCCUACGGGAGGCAACAGUGGGGAAUAUUGGACAAUGGGCGCAAGCCUGAUCCAGCAAUGCCGCGUGAGUGAUGAAGG